CUCCUACGGGAGGCAGCAGUGGGAAUUUUGCGCAAUGGGGAAACCCUGACGCAGCAACGCCGCGUGGAGGAUGAAAUCCCUUGGGAUGUAAACUCCUUUCGAUGGGGAAGAUAAUGACGGUACCCAUAGAAGAAGCCCGGCUAACUUCGUGCCAGCCGCCGCGGUAAUAC
Molecule: ribosomal RNA, 170 nt
Filed under: uncultured bacterium
Lineage: Bacteria
Description: partial 16S ribosomal RNA
Rfam family: Bacterial small subunit ribosomal RNA
Source: RNAcentral